Molecule: RNA transcript, 1611 nt
Organism: Phoenix dactylifera (date palm)
Lineage: Eukaryota; Viridiplantae; Streptophyta; Magnoliopsida; Arecales; Arecaceae
Source: RefSeq, a predicted model, not a curated record
GCCAAAAAAAAAAAAAAAAAAUCCUCGCCCUCCGCGGCGACAAACUCGACGCCUAGUGGCAGUUAAUCCAUCCGUCUCCCUGCCCCUUCUCUCUUCCCUCACAAAGUUCCAAUGCUUGCCCCUUUUCCCCCAAAGCAUUAUCUUCCAAUCCAUUAAACCCUAAGAGAAGGAACCAAAUAAUAAGCUUUCCCUUGUUAAUUUAGUCGAAAGAUUGAUAAAAAAAUAUGAGUUCUUUCGAUUCAGAUCGAAUGGAGCUCACCCUCAUUUGGUGAAUAUCCAGUUCCAGAAGGAGGUCAAGCUGCAUGAUUUUGAUUCCCUGUUAUUUGUUCUGUUCGUCGAUUUUGAACCCUUUUGUCGAAUUUUAUUCACGAAUUUUGCUAUCAAAUUGGUUCUCAAUGGAAUGCUAACAUCCGGUUCAGCUACUAGUUCUCUAUGUGGAUAUCAAUCUCGACGAAAGCUGCACGCCGAACGAGAUCUCUAUUCGUGCUGGUGAUGCUUUCGACAACAUGAAGGUCGUCCUUUUCGAUUCACAAAUUAAAAUAAAAAUAUUUCUCAAUCUUUUGUUUUAAUUAUAAUUUUUUGAUCACUUUGUUAGAAUGUAUAGAUAAUUUGUAUAGAUGGCCCGAAUCUUCUGAUUGUUUUUAGUCCGAACGGAAUCGAAACUUAGUCGAGUAUCUGACUUGAUGUCUUUUGAAAGUUUCAUUUGGCUUUCAUGCUCUUUGCGCUCCGGGAGAGAGUUGUGGAGCUUGUCAAGCAAGUCGGCUCACAUUUCACAAACCUUUAUCUGGAACUGAUCUUCGCCAACUGAUACGUGUCAGGAGAAGGCACUGGUGAUGAUUGCUGCUAAGAGCUCAGAUAGGAAAGAAAGUUAUAAGGCUCGCAAACGUUCCCAAAUUUCGCGAGCUAUCGUACCUUAUUUGAUGCAAGAGGGAGCCAGAGAGCAGAUGCAAAGGCCACAGAACUGUUCCUCUGGGGUUGUGAUGGUUGCGGAGACCAUGGAUCCUUCCCCAUGGAAGUUUUUAAGGAUACGGAUGCAGUGGAACUGGUCCUUAGCUUUGUCUACAGAGCAAGGUAAGGAAUUCAAGGGUGCUUAUCUUCCGUUGUGGUAGCUAAAGCCAUUGAGUUUGUCUUGAAGACGAAGCAAAAGAACAAACACAAAAAGAAUUAGGCGAAUCAGCUCAUGAUGGUAGGAGAUGAGGUUUGCCUGGAUCCGGACUUCGAACUGGAUUGAAUCAACAAGGAUUCGAUUGUGAAGAAUGCCAAAUAAUUUUCAUAGUCCAGUGCAAUCCGGCUCAUUGCCAAAUGCUUGAUUGCAUGGAUUGGCACGUUGAGUAAAAUUUAACAAGGCUCGCUGGAGUUCAUCUGCAUGGUAGAAUGAACUACGCCAAUAAAAAAGUGAAAUGGGUAAACUAGAAUAUAAUUACUCUCCCUUUGAGCUAAACAAAUUCUGGUUAAAGUGGGUUGAUUGGGGGAAUUGACGUGCAGAUAAUUGUCUGGCAAAUAAGGAGCCUAUGUUGUUACCUCCUAAUCAAUAAUAAUCCCAAACCAAAUGGCAUAGAAAUACAAGCAUGACCUAUGAAAUACACAUGCUCAAAUGGCGUUUCAUGCUAA